This 74-nucleotide transfer RNA is filed under the name Opisthorchis viverrini. Its description in RNAcentral is "tRNA-Thr". The record is from RNAcentral. Lineage: Eukaryota; Metazoa; Platyhelminthes; Trematoda; Opisthorchiida; Opisthorchiidae.
GGGGACAUAGUUUAAUUAGAAUAUAGUCUUUGUAAGGCUGUGGUGCUUUGGCUCGGUUGUUUCCAUUGGUUUGA